RNAcentral lists this ribosomal RNA (802 nucleotides) under Crangonyx pseudoephemerus. RNAcentral's name for it is "partial large subunit ribosomal RNA". It matches the Rfam family "Eukaryotic large subunit ribosomal RNA", at positions 141 to 618 of the family's 3401-position model. The record is from RNAcentral. Lineage: Eukaryota; Metazoa; Arthropoda; Malacostraca; Amphipoda; Crangonyctidae.
GAAUGUUGCGUUAAGGGAAAGGUCAUAUUCAUACCCAUCAGUCACGCGAGCGCUAAGUCAGCUACGAAUUGGCUAUCCCGACUAACGGAGGGACUGACUCCACGGAGGGUGUAAGACCCGUGUGGGCGCGUGUAAAAGCUGAUUGGGGUUGGCCUCUUUUCCCUGAGAGUCGCGUUGCUCUGGCAUGCAGCGCUAAGCAGGUCGUAAACUCGAUCUAAGGCUAAAUAUUUCCACAGGCCCGAUAGCGAACAAGUACCGUGAGGGAAAGUUGAAAAGCACUCUGAAGAGAGAGUCAAAAGACCGUGAAACCGCUCAGAGUAUAAGCCCAUGGCGCUCGGAAGGCAUACCGCAGUCCUAUAACAAGGUCGGCUUGCAUGAAGGUCUGUCAGGCAGUGGCAUUGAGUUGAUAUCACGCUGACGUGCGGGAGGGACACUGGUCGCGUAGCCGGGCUUCGGCUCGGUUUGCACGGCCAGCUACCUCAUUGAGCACGGACGUUCAAGGUUGCUUGCCGUAUGCGGAACCGCCCACCACGUCUCGUUGCGUGGUCACCCACAGGCUCGACUGUCGAUCGCGUGUUCACCUCGCUCGCAAAGUUGUGUCGUGUUCUUAUGUCUCACUCCCUCGUAUGCUAUAGGGAGUGGGACGACACUCGCGGCGUGGCUAAUGGAAUUGAACCGGACGGCGACUGAGAUAAACCUGGUAUGAUCCACUCGCGACGAGACGCUUUCUGGCCAGUUGUUGCGUGCAGGCUUCGUCUCCUUUGCCGAGCGUUGCCUUACACCAGGCGGACUGAAUCUCUGC